This 496-nucleotide ribosomal RNA is filed under the name uncultured bacterium. Its description in RNAcentral is "partial 16S ribosomal RNA". It matches the Rfam family "Bacterial small subunit ribosomal RNA", at positions 28 to 506 of the family's 1533-position model. The record is from RNAcentral.
GAUGAACGCUGGCGGCGUGCCUAAUACAUGCAAGUCGAGCGAACAGAUAAGGAGCUUGCUCCUUUGACGUUAGCGGCGGACGGGUGAGUAACACGUGGGUAACCUACCUAUAAGACUGGGAUAACUUCGGGAAACCGGAGCUAAUACCGGAUAACAUUUGGAACCGCAUGGUUCUAAAGUGAAAGAUGGUUUUGCUAUCACUUAUAGAUGGACCCGCGCCGUAUUAGCUAGUUGGUAAGGUAACGGCUUACCAAGGCAACGAUACGUAGCCGACCUGAGAGGGGGUUCGGCCACACUGGAACUGAGACACGGUCCAGACUCCUACGGGAGGCAGCAGUAGGGAAUCGUCCGCAAUGGGCGAAAGCCUGACGGAGCAACGGCGCGUGAGUGAUGAAGGGUUGCGGCUCGUAAAACUCUGUUAUUAGGGAAGAACAAAUGUGUAAGUAACUGUGCACGUCUUGACGGUACCUAAACAGAAAGCCACGGCUAACUACGU